Long non-coding RNA from Sinocyclocheilus grahami, 315 nucleotides. RefSeq lists it as uncharacterized. The record is from RefSeq and is a predicted model, not a curated record. The transcript has 2 exons. Lineage: Eukaryota; Metazoa; Chordata; Actinopteri; Cypriniformes; Cyprinidae.
AUUGUAUGAACUUCUGACUCACUGCAUCCCACCAGAAGUCAUCAUGAAGGGCCUGGUGACAGAGUUGCUAAGUAACUGCGAUGGACAUUUGAAGGCUGAGGUGGUUCAGAUGGCGGCAUACUAUGAGCACAGACUGCAGCUUGGAAGCAAAGCAGUCUACCACCUGGAGGCCUUUGUGGCUAAAUUCAUGGCCAUCUACAAGAAGUUUAUGGAAGAUGGACUUGACAACUUUAUGUUCUGAGCCACUGUAGCCUAAAAGAAUAAGAUAUAUUAAUUAACUGUUUGUUUUUCAUAAUAAAAACCAUUUCAAAUGUU